This 607-nucleotide ribosomal RNA is filed under the name uncultured bacterium. RNAcentral describes it as "bacterial SSU rRNA". The stretch from base 1 to 530 matches the Rfam family "Bacterial small subunit ribosomal RNA", at positions 338 to 873 of the family's 1533-position model. The record is from RNAcentral.
CCUACGGGAGGCAGCAGUAGGGAAUAUUGGGCAAUGGAGGCAACUCUGACCCAGCCAUGCCGCGUGCAGGAAGAAGGCGUUAUGCGUUGUAAACUGCUUUUAUAUAGGAAGAAAUAGACCUUGCGAGGUAAGUUGACGGUACUAUAUGAAUAAGCACCGGCUAACUCCGUGCCAGCAGCCGCGGUAAUACGGAGGGUGCAAGCGUUGUCCGGAUUUAUUGGGUUUAAAGGGUGCGUAGGCGGUUUAUUAAGUCAGUGGUGAAAGACGGUCGCUCAACGAUUGCAGUGCCAUUGAUACUGGUAGACUUGAGUGGGAUUGAGGUAGCUGGAAUGGAUAGUGUAGCGGUGAAAUGCAUAGAUAUUAUCCAGAACACCAAUUGCGUAGGCAAGUUACUAAGUCUCAACUGACGCUGAGGCACGAAAGUGUGGGUAUCAAACAGGAUUAGAUACCCUGGUAGUCCACACUGUAAACGAUGAUAACUACUGUUGUCUUCGGNUNAGUGUACGAGAGAAUACGUUAAGUUAUACACCGUGGAGACGCGCGACGUAGAACGACGAAGAAGUAGUACGGCGUGAGAGUAGACGACGGACGACGACGAGGGAGGAGG